UACGAAGGGGGCUAGCGUUGCUCGGAAUCACUGGGCGUAAAGGGUGCGUAGGCGGGUCUUUAAGUCAGGGGUGAAAUCCUGGAGCUCAACUCCAGAACUGCCUUUGAUACUGAGGAUCUUGAGUUCGGGAGAGGUGAGUGGAACUGCGAGUGUAGAGGUGAAAUUCGUAGAUAUUCGCAAGAACACCAGUGGCGAAGGCGGCUCACUGGCCCAUUACUGACGCUGAGGCACGAAAGCGUGGGGAGCAAACAGG
Molecule: ribosomal RNA, 253 nt
Filed under: uncultured bacterium
Lineage: Bacteria
Description: partial 16S ribosomal RNA
Rfam family: Bacterial small subunit ribosomal RNA
Source: RNAcentral